Molecule: ribosomal RNA, 256 nt
Filed under: uncultured bacterium
Lineage: Bacteria
Description: partial 16S ribosomal RNA
Rfam family: Bacterial small subunit ribosomal RNA
Source: RNAcentral
UACGGGGGGGAGCAAGCGUUUGUUCGGAUUUACUGGGCGUAAAGGGCGCGUAGGCGGCCAGCGCAAGUCAGUUGUGAAAUCUCCGGGCUUAACUCGGAAAGGUCAACUGAUACUGCGCGGCUAGAGUGCAGAAGGGGCAACUGGAAUUCUCGGUGUAGCGGUGAAAUGCGUAGAUAUCGAGAGGAACACCUGCGGCGAAGGCGGGUUGCUGGGCUGACACUGACGCUGAUGUGCGAAAGCUAGGGGAGCGAACGGG